CGCGCCAGUUAUGUGCAGGUGCAAAGUGAUUAAGCUGACCUUUCCGCUAGCAUCUUACCUGCAUUGCUCUGUAGAAUCUAAAGUUCUUAAAUGUAACGUGAACAAGUAAUAUUACUAAAAGAAGCGUACAUAUCAACCCCGACGUCCCGAGUCAUUACUUUGAAGACAGUUAUUCUAAAAGUAAUUGCUCUUUUGACCAAUCAGAUAUGCUCUGAAAAAGAGCUGAUGCGAAAAUAUCUAACGUGAUAAUUUCCCAUCAUUAUUCAACAGGCUAAUGGGUCUCCAGUUGUCUAUAUAAAGAGUAUCCUUAUUAAGUUUGGGAAUCAAAGUAAUUACACCUUGUUUUAAGGAAGCCGGUAACUCCCCUUUUUCUAUUGAUUCGUGAAACAUAGCAAGAAUGAAAGGAAUCAAUUUAUCAUUGAAUGCUUUAUAAAACUCGCUUAUUAAACCAUCAUUUCCAGGGGACCUAUUGUCCUUAAGGCUUUUAAUACAGUCUUUUAUCUCAAUUUCAGAUAACUCAUCAUCACAAAAAUCCCUGAAAUCAUUAUCUAUUUUAGAAAUGUUUGCAACACGUCAUGCUCUUAUCAACUGAGCUACGAAGGAGCACGUCGACGUCACUAGAAUGAUGACAAGCCAUUUUAAGGGAUUCUAAAGGGAAUCAGAAUUCCAAACUAAUUUCUAUGGCAACACAGUUGUCAAUUUUGUAAACAAUCAUUUUCGAACCGACGUUCUAUGGAACGAUUUCUGUGCGAAAACAACAACUUUGCUGCUGACAACAAACCUGUUUGAUUUUUGAGACCUGAGAAAAUGCCUGGGUGCUUUUCAAGACUGGCGGAGAGAGUGCGUGGACGUCGGCGGCCUACUGCGUCGACAGGUUGUUCAAAUUCAUUUGUGGCUUGUUUUUCUUGUCUUUUUCUGUUUUGCAGGGUUCGUGAUCGUCGACAGGUGGACAGCGACUUCGAAGAGGAAACAACUGUCCUGGAUGAGGUCCAGUUGGAUGUGCCAUUGGAUGAUGUGCCAGAUGUUCCACAGCUGCCAGUCCUCCUUGAUGUCCAGAAUGCUGCUAUCAUCCUUGAGGAUGUGCCAGAUGUGCAGACUAUCCUUGAGAACAAUGCCGGUCCGGUGGUUAAAGCUUGGAGAACUUUCCAGUUCAUCAGCCCCAUCAUCACCUACAUGCGUGGGGGAUCCCAGCAGGUGGUGGUGAGGAUGCACCACGUGAGUAGGGUGAGAGGCCUGGAGACUCAACUGGUGUGGGCCAUCUCCAAGGAGACAGCCAGGCUUAGUCCAGAGGGCAUCCCCUACUGUGCCACCAAAGUGCAGUCCAUCACUUGGAUCCAGGUAAGACGUAAAUACUACUGAAACAGUAGUAGAUUAGGCUUUUCUUCACUUAUUCCAUUUGGCCUUAACAUGUAUUCUCUCUCUGUCAGCGUGUGGCUGGCAGGGUGACCCACUAUGCGUCUCACCUCCGCCACGAGACGUCUGUGGACGUGACGCUUGGCUGCAACCAGGUAAAUAAACGAUUUCCUAUGUAUAUAGACUAGACAUUACUGGGCAUUUUUGCAUUAGAUUUGGUGUGUUAUCUAAUAACGUGUGUGUGUGGUAAACAGGUGUGUUGUGUGUGUUUUGAGCAGCAGACUGAUGUCUCAGUGGUGUACGCCACUCUCCACAUGGGGCUGGACGGGCUUCUCUCCUCUUCAGCGUGGUCGGAGGCUGCCUCCUUCUCUACUCCCACCACUCAGCAGUUCACUGACCCAGAGCCUGAGGGCCACAACUGCUAUGAGGUCAGACGUUACACACACAUACUAUUGACUAGGAGCAUUAAGAUCCUUCCAUUGACCGAUUGUUUGUUAUGUCAUUGCACUGGUCACUGAUUUUGAAUGCUUGUUUUGUUGUCGUAGGGCUGGGAGGAGGACCUGCUGCCUGAGGAGAGGGAGGUUCCUCUGCUAAAGUGAGUUCCUCUAAAUGUCUGUGUAGUCUGAGCUUGUCAGAUGCUGAAGGAUUGUGGUCAUAAUGCUGUUAUCCCCCAUUGACUCUAAUGGUUGACAUGCUCCAUUCCCUCCCUUUCACAGCCUCUACCUUACCACCAAGAGAGUGGAGGACAUCGCCCUGAGGCUCGUCUCCUUGCGCCAGGCCUUCACUGUGAGUGGACCCACUGUUCUUUUUGUCUCUGUGACUUCUUGUUCUCCAAGAGGAAGAUGUCUCACCCUAACUCUUCCCUCUUCCCUAGACCCUGCUUGGUUCCACCCUGAGCAGGAACCAUCUGUUUGUGGCGGGAAAGGUCCUCCUGGGCGCCCUUGUUCAGGCCAACCACAUGGUAACUCACUAACUCAUUCUCUUUCAAGGGAAAGAGAGCAUCCCUGAGGGGAAUGUGUUCUGUUCACUAAGAUGCUCUUUUCUUUGUCAUAGGACGAGGCCAAAUUCAUCCGUACCUAUAACAACUUUGUGGACUACCUGAGUGACCCCUCCAAGCGGAAUGACAUUGAGAGGGAGCUGGCUGAGGCAAAGGUGAGUUCAUUAACUCUUUCAAGUCUCACUGAGUUCUUCCACAUGCAUGUCUUUAUACAUCACAGUAGCUGAUCUAUAUGAAAUCAUUCCUAUUUUCUCCAAAUGUGUUUUCUUGUCCUAGAUCCAUCAUGUGAACAUGAUAGAUGUCCUCUUUGAGCUGGUGCUGUUUGGGUUGAUGACAGCUCAGAAGUCCCUGAUGGUGGUAAGUAGCAUCUCACUGGUACAUGUUUUGAUAUCGCUCUAUUAGCAGUUUCACUUAAAUUCCUCUUCUCUUCUCUCCUCUUUUCUCCUCCUUUGUUUCCUUUAGCACCCUGGUGGGUUCGUGGAGCGUCUGUACGCUCUCCUGUACUCCUUCCUGCCCACUGCUGCCAACAUGGAGUCAGAGGCUGAUAGAUACCUGCUGCUGCUCAAUGUAAGAGUCAAGAGGUUACUUCCUGUUUACUUCCAUAUUCUUAGUGUACUUCCUGUUUACUUCCAUAUUCAUGGUUAACCAGGUUCCAAUGCCAUUUUAGGGGGAGUAUUUCUAAUGGUCUCUCUCCUCUUGAUAAGCUAGUAACUCAGAGCCAUUUUCUAUGUGUUGUGUGGUGUUCUCUUCAGGGCGGACUGAUGGCUCUGCUAGAUGACAUGUUUGGCCAGCAGCUGGCCUGGUACUUUAACCCAGAGUCUCUGGUCACUGAGCUCUCCAGCCUCCUGGAGUACCACUUGGAGAACCUCAUGGCCAGCAUGUAGUCCUACUGCAGGGACCAUACUCCUUUCUCCUUCUCUCUCUCUUUUGAAGGAAUUGAGGACUUGAAGUGCUUUGUUGAACUCUGAUUAGUUAACACCCAUUAAUGUAAUGUAUUCUCUUGUUUUCUCUCCCCACAGGAUUAUUGUGACACUUUGCCACCCAACAGGGAUCUAGACACCAAUGCACUACAUUACUUUGCACUGAAUUUGACAUUUUA
Long non-coding RNA from Oncorhynchus kisutch (coho salmon), 3449 nucleotides. NCBI's taxonomy places the organism in Eukaryota, Metazoa, Chordata, Actinopteri, Salmoniformes, Salmonidae. The record is from Ensembl.